UGCAAAAGGGAGCGCAUCCGUUCCCAAGGGUACAGUAGGGAGCAUUUUUCUUUGAAGAGGCCGGAAUGUUUUUUGAAGGAACAUGGCCUGGGGAGGUCUUCCGUGGGAAGUUCGCGCCUUUUCCAAAGGUGUCUUCGCUGUCUUCUUUUGGGGAAACCGACUCAACUCUGCCUUCUGUGUGCCUGCCUGUGGUCCCCAACAGCAGGAAGACCUGCGGCCACCGUGCAGAGGAUGCUGUGACGCUCACCGUGUUUUCUUUUCUGUCAUUGCAGGUGGACGGGACGGACGGUGAAAGCUGUGAGUAUUCUGGAACCCUGCUCCGCUGAGGAGAAGUCCAGGUGUUGAGGAAGGGAGGGGGGGCCCUCCUGCUCCUUUGGUUGCAGAGACACGUUGAGGCCAUAGAGCCCAGGGAAGUUCUGAGCACACGGAGGCCAGACCAGGGCAGUGCUGUGAGGCCCCAAACAACCUUCGGUAGGCGACAUGAGUGGGGGACAGAUUCUAACACCUUGGUUCCUCAUGUCUGUGUUUCUGCAGCGUGGAGCACUGUGAGUCUGUGUGGCAGCGUCCACGAUGAAGAUGACACAGGUAGGAACAGCUCUCGGGUAGGGGCCAAUGGGAGAGGGUUCCCUGGACACUUGGGUUACGCCUGCUGCUUGGGGUGUGGGGCAGGUGAGUCUGAAAUCUAACAACAGAAAGAAAUUGGUGUAAAGAUGUUCAUCGCCUGUUUUAAGAGGGAGAGGGAGCAGAUGAAGAGGUGCCGGAAUGUUGGCAUCUGUGCUCACAUUGGGUCGAAGCGUCUCAGUCCCUGGAGCCGAGGGAAGGUGUGGGCACCUGGAGGAAAAACCAGGGUGAUGCUCCGUGACCCGCAGUCACCUCAGGGACGGGGGAGAAGCGGGAGGGCCGCUGUUUGUACGUCCUUGAUUCCCCGUGGUGUGUUUCUGCAGACUCGGUGGUGGAGAGCAGCAACAGCCACCAGGACGAGGAGGCUGCAGGUAGGGAAGAGCACACGUCUGUCCUCCAGAUCUGUGAGUCCGUUUCUGUUCUGGAGAUAUGUCCCUUUGUGCCGUAUCUUUGCUUCCGCGUGUACGUGAUGUCAUGUGGUAUUUGUCAUUGUCUUUCUGACUUAGGUCACGUGCCGUGAUAACUGUAGUGGCAUCCCUGUUGCUGCCAGUGGCAUUGUUGCUUUCCUGUACCCAGCUGAGCGGCAUGACACUGUCUUUGUGUACCCCAUCGUCUUCACCCAUCCGUCUGUUGGUGGACAUUUAGGUUGCUUCCAUGCCUUGGCUCUUGUGACUUGUGCCACGAACAUACAGGAGCAUGUGUCUUUUUGAGUGAAAGUUUUGUCUGGAGAGAGGCCUAGGAGUGGGAUCGCUGGAUCACAUAGGGUAGUAGUGUAUUGAGUUUUCUGAGGAACCCCCACACUGUUUUCCAGAGUGGUCGCACCGAUUUCCACUGCCACCAACAGUGUUGGGAGGGUUCGCCUUUCUCCGCACCCCCUCCAGCAUU
RNAcentral lists this long non-coding RNA (1506 nucleotides) under Sus scrofa (pig). RNAcentral's name for it is "lncRNA (ENSSSCG00070006577.1)". Lineage: Eukaryota; Metazoa; Chordata; Mammalia; Artiodactyla; Suidae. The record is from RNAcentral.